CUACGGGGUGCUCCAGUGGGGAAUAUUGGACAAUGGGCGAAAGCCUGAUCCAGCCAUGCCGCGUGUGUGAAGAAGGCCCGAGGGUUGUAAAGCACUUUCAAUUGUGAGGAAGGUAGUGUAGUUAAUACCUGCAUUGCUUGACGUUAACUUUAGAAGAAGCACCGGCGAACUCUGUGCCAGCAGCCGCGGUAAUACAGAGGGUGCAAGCGUUAUUCGGAAUUACUGGGCGUAAAGCGCGCGUAGGCGGACUGUUAAGUCGGUUGUGAAAGCCCUGGGCUCAACCUGGGAACUGCAUCCGAUACUGGCAAUCUAGAAUUUAGUAGAGGGAAGGGGAAUUCCUGGUGUAGCUGUGAAAUGCGUAGAUAUCAGGAGGAACAUCAGUGGCGAAGGCGCCUUCCUGGACUAAAAUUGACGCUGAGGUGCGAAAGCGUGGGUAGCAAACGGGAUUAGAUACCCGUGUAGUC
Molecule: ribosomal RNA, 464 nt
Filed under: uncultured bacterium
Lineage: Bacteria
Description: partial 16S ribosomal RNA
Rfam family: Bacterial small subunit ribosomal RNA
Source: RNAcentral